RNAcentral lists this ribosomal RNA (614 nucleotides) under Agarivorans sp. KR08-47. Its description in RNAcentral is "bacterial SSU rRNA". It matches the Rfam family "Bacterial small subunit ribosomal RNA", at positions 115 to 723 of the family's 1533-position model. Lineage: Bacteria; Pseudomonadati; Pseudomonadota; Gammaproteobacteria; Alteromonadales; Alteromonadaceae. The record is from RNAcentral.
GCUUGGGAAUAUGCCUUUACGUGGGGGACAACAGUUGGAAACGACUGCUAAUACCGCAUAAUGUCUUCGGACCAAAGGAGGGGACUCUUCGGAGCCUUUCGCGUAAAGAUUAGCCCAAGUGGGAUUAGCUAGUUGGUAAGGUAAUGGCUUACCAAGGCGACGAUCCCUAGCUGGUUUGAGAGGAUGAUCAGCCACNCUGGGACUGAGACACGGCCCAGACUCCUACGGGAGGCAGCAGUGGGGAAUAUUGCACAAUGGGCGAAAGCCUGAUGCAGCCAUGCCGCGUGUGUGAAGAAGGCCUUCGGGUUGUAAAGCACUUUCAGUCGUGAGGAAGGGGUAGUAAUUAAUACUUGCUAUCUUUGACGUUAGCGACAGAAGAAGGACCGGCUAACUCCGUGCCAGCAGCCGCGGUAAUACGGAGGGUCCGAGCGUUAAUCGGAAUUACUGGGCGUAAAGCGUACGCAGGCGGCUUGUUAAGCCAGAUGUGAAAUCCCCGGGCUCNNCCUGNNAAUGGCAUUUGNAACUGGCAAGCUAGAGUUUUGNAGAGGGUGGUAGAAUUUCNGGUGUAGCGGUGAAAUGCGUAGAGAUCUGANGGAAUACCNGUGGCGAAGGCG